This 305-nucleotide ribosomal RNA is filed under the name uncultured bacterium. RNAcentral's name for it is "bacterial SSU rRNA". It matches the Rfam family "Bacterial small subunit ribosomal RNA", at positions 336 to 658 of the family's 1533-position model. The record is from RNAcentral.
CGCCUACGGGGGGCAGCAGUGGGGAAUAUUGCACAAUGGGGGAAACCCUGAUGCAGCGACGCCGCGUGGGUGACGAAGUAUUUCGGUAUGUAAAGCCCUAUCAGCAGGGAAGAAGAUGACAGUACCUGACCAAGAAGCCCCGGCUAACUACGUGCCAGCAGCCGCGGUAAUACGUAGGGGGCGAGCGUUAUCCGGAUUUACUGGGUGUAAAGGGAGCGUAGACGGUUCUGCAAGUCUGAAGUGAAAGCCCGUGGCUUAACCGCGGAACGGCUUUGGACACUGUGGAACUGGAGUGCUGGAGAGGG